CAAGGGUGAUGACAUCCAGCAAAUUCUGUGAAAUGAGAAACUUGGUAGUACGUAAAUUAGAAAAAAAAAAUGCACCAUUCACUAAAUGUUUUAUGCCCAAUCUAAAUAUCUCAUGUCUUCUUUUCUCUUGAUUUAUAGACACAUAAUGUUGAAGAACUCACUGUUAGGCCAAGAUCAUAUGAAGGUCUGUGCUUUUGAAAAUGCUGUGUUCUGAUCCGUGAAGACCUGUUAUAUUCCUUUCAUGAAUGCUACAGUUGCUCGUGCUAAACAACUCACAGUAGUGCUACUGGUUCUGGAGCUUAUGGGGAACUGCUGGAUCAUACU
This 324-nucleotide long non-coding RNA is filed under the name Gallus gallus (chicken). Lineage: Eukaryota; Metazoa; Chordata; Aves; Galliformes; Phasianidae. The record is from RNAcentral.